This 100-nucleotide ribosomal RNA is filed under the name Monopterus albus (swamp eel). Lineage: Eukaryota; Metazoa; Chordata; Actinopteri; Synbranchiformes; Synbranchidae. The record is from RNAcentral.
UAUGUUAUACAGGUCUGAUUUCAUCUGCUCCCAGAAACUAAGCAGGGUUGGCUUGGUUAGUACUUACAUGGAAAACCACCUGGGAAUACCAGGUGCAGAG